RNAcentral lists this long non-coding RNA (607 nucleotides) under Zonotrichia albicollis (white-throated sparrow). RNAcentral's name for it is "lncRNA (ENSZALG00000001714.1)". The record is from RNAcentral. Lineage: Eukaryota; Metazoa; Chordata; Aves; Passeriformes; Passerellidae.
CCACGCCCCCCACAGACCACAUUCACAAAAGUGGGGGGCGGGGCCAAAUCGUCUUUAUUCCAUUGUGGGUGGAGCUUGGUGGUGACCACGCCCCUCACAAACCACAUUCAAAAAGUAGGGGCGGAGCCCAAAUCAUCUUUAAUUCAUUGUGGGCGGAGCUUUGAUGUGACCACACCCCCCACAGACCACACCCAACAAAGGGGGCGGGGCCAAACCAUCUUUAUUCCAUGGUGGGCGGAGCUUGGUGGUGACCACGCCCCCCACAGACAACAUCCAAAAAAUGGGGGCGGGGCCCAAAUCACCUUUAAUUCAUUGUGGGCGGAGCUUGGUGGUGACCACGCCCCCACAAACCACAUUUUAAAAAGUGGGGGCGGGGCCAAACCAUCUUUAUUCCAUGGUGGGCGGAGCUUGCUGGUGACCACGCCCCCCACAAACCACAUCCAGCAAAGGGGGCGGGGCCAAAUCGCCUUUAUUCCAUUAUGGGUGGGGCUUUGAUGUGACCACGCCUCCCACAAACCACAUCCAACAAAGUGGGGGCGGGGCCAAACCAUCUUUAUUCCAUGGUGGGCGGAGCUUGGUGGUGACCACGCCCCUACAAACCACAUCC